UCUUUCUCGAGGGGGCCCCGGUGGCGGAGCCAUUCAGCAGCGCUGGCCAUAAAUGACCGUGUGGAACACCACGUUUAGCACUGCAUUCUGAACAAAACAGCACAAGCUCUGGAGCACAGCCAAAAUGCCAGGAACGAAAGGUAACAAGUCGGACAAGAAGUCAACUACCAAGCAACCUCAGAGUCCUAAAGAGCAGCCGAAGAAAGGUGAUCAGAAAGGAGAUGACAACAAGAAGCAAGGAGGACAGCCGAAGGGAGAGAAGCAGUAACUUCCAGGCAUUUGUGAAGAUGGCAUUGGAGACGCUGCUGGGCUCCUGCCGUCGCAAACAUGGGGGUCCUCGGGGCAGGCAGGGCUAAGCUGAGAUACCCCCACGAGCCUGCCAACCGGGUUGUUGGGUGGCCUUCCAACAAGAUAUUUGUUCAUCUCUCAGAGAGAAGAAAAAUCAAACUGAUCUCUAUUCACUGCCAGCUCUCUCUAGCUUUGCCCCGUUCCCACCGUUAUCUGUGCCCACACUUUCCAGCCGGCAUGCUGGAUGCUUGAACUCGAGUUAAAAGGAGAAAAAAAAAAAAAAAACUACAACAAUAAGUCAUUGCUUAGAACACAAGCCGUUUGUUACUCCUUCCCAAUGGAACCUCUGAGUAUUGACUGUUUAACAGUCCAUACAUUUUUCUUGUAAAUAAUUAUUCAAAUAAACAACUAUUUCUUA
Molecule: long non-coding RNA, 706 nt
Organism: Phyllopteryx taeniolatus (common seadragon)
Lineage: Eukaryota; Metazoa; Chordata; Actinopteri; Syngnathiformes; Syngnathidae
Exons: 4
Source: RefSeq, a predicted model, not a curated record